CUGGAGGUAUCAGAAGUGCGAAUGCUGACAUAAGUAACGAUAAAGCGGGUGAAAAGCCCGCUCGCCGGAAGACCAAGGGUUCCUGUCCAACGUUAAUCGGGGCAGGGUGAGUCGACCCCUAAGGCGAGGCCGAAAGGCGUAGUCGAUGGGAAACGGGUUAAUAUUCCCGUACUUGGUGUUACUGCGAAGGGGGGACGGAGAAGGCUAUGUUGGCCGGGCGACGGUUGUCCCGGUUUAAGCGUGUAGGCUGGUUUUCCAGGCAAAUCCGGAAAAUCAAGGCUGAGGCGUGACGACGAGGCACUACGGUGCUGAAGCAACAA
Molecule: ribosomal RNA, 320 nt
Filed under: Salmonella enterica subsp. enterica serovar Newport
Lineage: Bacteria; Pseudomonadati; Pseudomonadota; Gammaproteobacteria; Enterobacterales; Enterobacteriaceae
Description: partial 23S ribosomal RNA
Rfam family: Bacterial large subunit ribosomal RNA
Source: RNAcentral